This 253-nucleotide ribosomal RNA is filed under the name uncultured prokaryote. RNAcentral describes it as "partial 16S ribosomal RNA". It matches the Rfam family "Bacterial small subunit ribosomal RNA", at positions 524 to 776 of the family's 1533-position model. The record is from RNAcentral.
GACGUAGGGGGCCAGCGUUGUUCGGAAUUACUGGGUGUAAAGGGUUCGUAGGCGGUGUGGCAAGUCGGGAGUGAAAUUUCUGGGCUUAACCCAGAGGCUGCUUCCGAAACUGCUGUGCUCGAGUGUGGGAGAGGCGCGUGGAAUUGCAGGUGUAGCGGUGAAAUGCGUAGAUAUCAGGAGGAACACCAAUGGCGAAGGCAGCUCGCUGGGACGUGACUGACGCUGAGACGCGAAAGCGUGGGGAGCAAACAGG